CCAACUCCUAGUUAUCCCCCUUCUCUUUCUUUAAAUUAUAUGUUGUUAAUAAAGCAUCUCGUACUGCACACAAAACAAAGAAAGCUACAUCCUUGGAGAUUUGGUGCUCCAAAAUUUUUUUUCCUCACAUCUCUCUUAUUGCCCCUUUUUGACAACUUUGGAUAUUAGGUAUUGUAAAAGAUUUUGCUCCUACACGCCUGUAUCAUUUUAGUUCCGCCGGUAUCCACAUUUUUCUGUUACAAAGAAUAUUUUAGAUUGGCGUUGAUCAGGGUUAUGCUUAGAAUUGCCAUGUUUAUAUUGGUCAAUUUUAUUUUCAGUGAUGCCGACUGAGAAUGCUAGUGCAGUGGAGAAUCAAGCUGUGGAUGAACUGCAGGCUUCGCGGUUUACUUGGACAAUUGAUAAUUUCUCUCGACUAUCAUUGAAAAAAUUAUAUUCUGAGGUUUUCACUGUUGGUGGUUAUAAAUGGUUGGGCAGUUAAGAGAAGUUUCUAACAAGACGAACACAGCGGAACUGAAGUUAUUUUUGGGAGUGGAGAAUGGGGCGAUUGAAGAUGGAGACAUUAUUUGCUUUCAGAAGAAACUUUCUCCUGAAGUUGAACAAGAAGCCCGUUUUCCAGAUGUUCCUUCAUUUUUGGAAUAUGUGAAAAAUCACCAGGUGAAUCCCAUCUUUUGAUUACAGCUUCAGUUCUCGCUACUGUACCUAUGUUGUGUCAGUUGGUUAUAACCUUUUCCCUUGCUUUAGGCACGGGCAUGUGGGAGGAGGGGGAUACUAGCAUUCAACGCUAUCCUCUCCUUUAAUUUUGUCUCUGAUGCCAGUGUAUGAUACACCAAGAUCCUUUAUUUUCUAUCCAUUGAUGACACAAAUUUUGAUUGCUUAUUUUUGAAAUAAUUGAUUACAAAUUGUC
Lycium ferocissimum is the source of this 904-nucleotide long non-coding RNA. RefSeq lists it as uncharacterized. The transcript has 3 exons. Lineage: Eukaryota; Viridiplantae; Streptophyta; Magnoliopsida; Solanales; Solanaceae. The record is from RefSeq and is a predicted model, not a curated record.